AUGGAGUCGCUGCUGGCGGCGCUCGCCGCGAGCAGUGGAGGCACGGUCGCUGCCGCAGCCGUUGGCGGGCUGGCCGCGGCUGCCGCGCUCGCUGUACAGGCCGGCAACGGCGGGACGGGCCCCAAGGACCGCACCAACGCGCCCCCAGUUGUUCCUGGUUUACCACUGAUUGGAAAUCUGCACCAAUUGAAAGAAAAGAAACCUCACAAGACCUUUUCAAAAUGGUCUGAGACUUAUGGUCCGAUAUACACUAUAAAGACCGGGGCUUCGUCAGUAGCUGUGCUCAACACAAGAGAGGUGGCUAAGGAGGCAAUGGUUGCAAAAUACUCAUCGAUAUCUACUCGAAAGCUACCUAAAUCUUUAGAUGUGUUGGGUCGCGAUAAAGCGAUGGUUGCUAUGAGUGACUAUGGCGACUUCUACAAAAAGGUGAAGCGUUUGGUUAUGGCGGGCAUGUUGGGUUCUUCCACUCAGAAACAAUUUCGGGAGACAAGAGACCUGAUGAUGGAUAACAUGCUGAGCAGUUUUCGUACAUUGGUGACUGACAACCCGAAUCAUUCCCCUGUGAACUUCAGAGAUGUUUUCAAGGACGAGUUGUUCCGCCUGUCCUUGGUCCAGAGUAUAGGCGAGGGUGUGAGUUCAGUCUACGUGGAGGAGUUUGGGAGGGAGAUAUCGAGGGAUGAAAUCUACCAGAUUACUGUGGUUGACAUCUUGAUGUGGGCGAUUGAGGUUGAUUGGAGGGAUUUCUUCCCCUACCUCGGCUGGAUUCCAAACAAGGGCUUUGAAACAGGACUUCAUACCACAGAAUUUAGGCGAACCAGCGUAAUGAGAGCCUUGAUCAAUGAACAGAAGAAAAGAAUUGCACGUGGCGAGGCAAGGGUGUCCUAUCUGGAUUUCUUAGUGGCAGAAAACGCGCUGACAGACGACCAAUUGAUGAUGCUGGUAUGGGAGGCGGUCAUCGAGAAUGCAGAUACUACUUUGGUGACCACCGAGUGGGCUAUGUAUGAGCUUGCCAAAAACCCAGAAAAACAGGAACGGCUCUACCAGGAGAUCAAGGAUGUGUGCGCGGGCGAGACGGUCACUGAGGACCACCUGCGACGGCUACCGUACCUCAACGCCGUGUUCCAUGAAACGCUGCGGUUCCAUUCUCCUGUCCCACUGGUGCCUCCAAGGUUCGUCCAUGAGAACACCAAACUGGCCGGCUAUGACGUCCCUGCCGGCACAGAGAUUAUCAUCAACCUGUACGGGUGUAAUAUGAACGAGAAGGAUUGGGAGAAGCCCGAGGAGUGGAGGCCAGAGAGAUUCCUGGACCCGAGGUUCGACUCUGCGGACAUGUACAAAACCAUGUCAUUCGGCUCCGGGAAGAGGAUCUGCGCCGGGAGCAUGCAGGCAACGGUAAUCUCGUGCACAGCUAUGGCGCGCAUGGUGCAGGAAUUCUCCUUCAGGCUGAAGGAGGGCGACGAGGACAAAGUGGACACAGUCCAGCUCACCAGCUACAAGCUCCAUCCACUCUACGUGCAUCUCUCUCCGAGAGGGAGCAAGUGA
Molecule: ribosomal RNA, 1542 nt
Filed under: Triticum aestivum (bread wheat)
Lineage: Eukaryota; Viridiplantae; Streptophyta; Magnoliopsida; Poales; Poaceae
Description: partial small subunit ribosomal RNA
Source: RNAcentral